GAUGAACGCUGGCGGCGUGCCUAACACAUGCAAGUCGAGCGAUAGCACGCGACACUUGCCUCACUGAUGUUAGAGGCGGACGGGAGAGUACCACGCGGACCCACUCCUUAUAAAUCAGUACUAACUUCGGGAACUCGUAGCUCAUACGGGCUAAUAUUUUGAACCGCAUGGCUCAAAAGUGAACGACGGUCUUGCUGUCACUUAUAGAUGGAUCCGCGCUGCAUUAGCUAGUUGGUCAGGUAACGGCUUACCAAGGCAACGAUGCAUAGCCGACCUGAGAGGGUGAUCGGCCACACUGGAACUGAGACACGGUCCAGACUCCUACGGGAGGCAGCAGUGGGGAAUCUUCGGCAAUGGGCGAAAGCCUGACGGAGCAACGCCGCGUGAGUGAUGAAGGUCUUCGGGUCGUAAAACUCUGUUAUAAGGGAAGAACAUAUGUUUAAGUAACUGUGCACAUCAUGACGGUACCUAAACAGAAAGCCACGGCUAACUACGUG
RNAcentral lists this ribosomal RNA (497 nucleotides) under uncultured bacterium. RNAcentral's name for it is "partial 16S ribosomal RNA". It matches the Rfam family "Bacterial small subunit ribosomal RNA", at positions 28 to 507 of the family's 1533-position model. The record is from RNAcentral.